AGAAGCUGACAUGUUUAUAGAUCCAGACUAUGCUUAGAAAGAGUUGCCAAGAUCACCCCAAAGAUCUUCUAAUCAAAGAUGCUCUCACAGGAUGCAGAUGCCUGAUACGAAAUGAAUGAGAAAGAACGCCCUGUUCACCGAAACAACAUUAAUGAACUUGUCAACUAUGCAGGGUGUUAGAAGAAACAAGACGUAGACAUCUUUAAAGCGAAGAUCAACUAUGCUAAAAUGAAGCACAAAUCCAGUGUGGUGGAAUUGGAUCGUUUGAAGGAAAAAUAUCCUCAUGCCUGGAGACGUACGUGCGAAAGACAAAAUUUGCCUAGCUAAAGAAAUUCUAGCUAAGAAAGCAGAGUUCAGAGCAGAAUUGAAGCAGAAAGCUGCCGACCAACAUAAACACCUCUCAGCGCAGCAACACAAAACAAAAAAAGGUGGCACCCAAUCUAUUCACCCAACUCCUGACAGUACAUGGAAUCACCCCAGACAAUUACAGACAUCCUCUGGCGUUUGGUCUUCUCCCUGGAAAGCGGCAAGAACACUACACAAACCUACUAGAAGAACUGGAUCGCUUUGGACCUUUCCAUCCAGACACCGCCCUUUGCGAUUAUGAAGCUGGGCUACGGAACAGUGUCACUGCUGUCUGGCCCGGGACUACUCUACAUGGCUGCUACUUCCACUUCAAACAGGCUCUAUGGAGGAACUUCGCUCGCUCCGACCUUGUUCCGGAGUAUCAGGUGGUUGGAUCCGACAUCCGGAAAGCCUUCCAACGGAUCGGAGCUCUACCUUUCAUCCCUCCUGGUGACGUCCACUACGCAUGGCAGACCCUUAGAGUUAGACCUAUCCUCUCCGCAGAUAUGGAUGUCUUUACAUUAUACUUUGAGUCCACGUGGAUGGGAACACCAAACAGACCUGCUCGCUUCGAUCACCUGUCCUGGAACCAGUACGAUUGCUGUCUAACUGGUCUCCCACGCUCUUUGAACCUUGCAGAAGGAUGACAUAAUGGUUUCCGCAGCCUCGUCCAGUGUUCAAAUCCUACCAUCUGGAAAUUCCUUGAAGCCCUCAAACUAGAGCAAGGACUAACAGACCAGAAGAUCACGGAUAGGCUGAUGAGAAGACCUCCACCCCAGAGAGCUGCCAAGUGGAUAAGGUACGACUCCCUUCUGGAAUCCUUCAUGCAAGCCUACAAUAACCAGGAGUACGAAGUCAUUGAUUAUCUCUCUGCUGUUUUUGCUGCACUAUGAAUUCGACAUUUGAUUAUUGAUAUUAACGGUUUUAUGAUAUUGGUAUUUAGUUAUACUUUCGAUUGUACUAUAUUUCAACCUUACUGCUAGGUUAUUUGAUCAUUGUUGAACUGUGUUUCAACGAUCAAUGCUUAAAUUAUUAGAAUCUUCAAUUAUGUUAGGCUUGAACUACUGUGAACACAAUAGAGAAUUAGAUAGUCAGCCAGGUCUGUAAUGAUUCCAUUUUAUCUGCAUCAUCCGAAAGUAUUUUGUACCUUUUAUUUGUGAUCUUCAUUGACACAAUAUUUGUAUAUCCAUAACCCUGUAACACGAACAGUUUUAAUAUCAAAACCGAGUCUUAACUGUUAGGUUAUUUAAAAUAGCUGACAUCGCUUUCGUAAUUGGUGCAUCGUGUGACCACCCAGACCACGGAGAGGAGAUCUCUGUCAUUCCUCUAGCAAAGCAGCCAGUUUAAAUUGAGAAGAGUAGCCCCUGAUGGGUGGUUACAGGUUAUCAGGAAGAGAGAGAGCAUGAACUGGACGAGUUUUGAUUUAAGAUGGUGUAAUUCAGAUAUUAUAGGAUAGGGCAUUGCAUUCAACAAUUUUGGGCCUGCACUUGCAGAUGAAUCUUCGUACAGCGACGGAUUCGCUGCCAAGCUGUGUCUGCAGAUCGAAUGACUGCAAGGUUUCUAAAACAUGGCCAGGAGACGAACUGCAAUGUUGACAACCGUUUACUUAAAGAUUUUAGAGUAAGCAUUUCAUGGGAUGUUUCGACUGUAAUCUUGAAUAUGACUGAAAUGAAUUAUUGAUAGAAUAAAA
Molecule: long non-coding RNA, 2035 nt
Organism: Bolinopsis microptera
Lineage: Eukaryota; Metazoa; Ctenophora; Tentaculata; Lobata; Bolinopsidae
Exons: 4
Source: RefSeq, a predicted model, not a curated record